CGGUACAGAGGUGCUUGCACCUCUUGAGAGCGGCGGACGGGUGAGUAAAGCCUAGGAAUCUGCCUGGUAGUGGGGGAUAACGCUCGGAAACGGACGCUAAUACCGCAUACGUCCUACGGGAGAAAGCAGGGGACCUUCGGGCCUUGCGCUAUCAGAUGAGCCUAGGUCGGAUUAGCUAGUUGGUGAGGUAAUGGCUCACCAAGGCGACGAUCCGUAACUGGUCUGAGAGGAUGAUCAGUCACACUGGAACUGAGACACGGUCCAGACUCCUACGGGAGGCAGCAGUGGGGAAUAUUGGACAAUGGGCGAAAGCCUGAUCCAGCCAUGCCGCGUGUGUGAAGAAGGUCUUCGGAUUGUAAAGCACUUUAAGUUGGGAGGAAGGGCAUUAACCUAAUACGUUAGUGUUUUGACGUUACCGACAGAAUAAGCACCGGCUAACUCUGUGCCAGCAGCCGCGGUAAUACAGAGGGUGCAAGCGUUAAUCGGAAUUACUGGGCGUAAAGCGCGCGUAGGUGGUUCGUUAAGUUGGAUGUGAAAUCCCCGGGCUCAACCUGGGAACUGCAUUCAAAACUGUCGAGCUAGAGUAUGGUAGAGGGUGGUGGAAUUUCCUGUGUAGCGGUGAAAUGCGUAGAUAUAGGAAGGAACACCAGUGGCGAAGGCGACCACCUGGACUGAUACUGAC
Molecule: ribosomal RNA, 682 nt
Filed under: Pseudomonas brassicacearum
Lineage: Bacteria; Pseudomonadati; Pseudomonadota; Gammaproteobacteria; Pseudomonadales; Pseudomonadaceae
Description: bacterial SSU rRNA
Rfam family: Bacterial small subunit ribosomal RNA
Source: RNAcentral